UACAGGGUGACAGCCCCGUACACAAAAAUGCACAUGCUGUGAGCUCGAUGAGUAGGGCGGGACACGUGGUAUCCUGUCUGAAUAUGGGGGGACCAUCCUCCAAGGCUAAAUACUCCUGACUGACCGAUAGUGAACCAGUACCGUGAGGGAAAGGCGAAAAGAACCCCGGCGAGGGGAGUGAAAAAGAACCUGAAACCGUGUACGUACAAGCAGUGGGAGCACGCUUAGGCGUGUGACUGCGUACCUUUUGUAUAAUGGGUCAGCGACUUAUAUUCUGUAGCAAGGUUAACCGAAUAGGGGAGCCGAAGGGAAACCGAGUCUUAACUGGGCGUUAAGUUGCAGGGUAUAGACCCGAAACCCGGUGAUCUAGCCAUGGGCAGGUUGAAGGUUGGGUAACACUAACUGGAGGACCGAACCGACUAAUGUUGAAAAAUUAGCGGAUGACUUGUGGCUGGGGGUGAAAGGCCAAUCAAACCGGGAGAUAGCUGGUUCUCCCCGAAAGCUAUUUAGGUAGCGCCUCGUGAAUUCAUCUCCGGGGGUAGAGCACUGUUUCGGCAAGGGGGUCAUCCCGACUUACCAACCCGAUGCAAACUGCGAAUACCGGAGAAUGUUAUCACGGGAGACACACGGCGGGUGCUAACGUCCGUCGUGAAGAGGGAAACAACCCAGACCGCCAGCUAAGGUCCCAAAGUCAUGGUUAAGUGGGAAACGAUGUGGGAAGGCCCAGACAGCCAGGAUGUUGGCUUAGAAGCAGCCAUCAUUUAAAGAAAGCGUAAUAGCUCACUGGUCGAGUCGGCCUGCGCGGAAGAUGUAACGGGGCUAAACCAUGCACCGAAGCUGCGGCAGCGACGCUGAUGCGUUGUUGGGUA
This 869-nucleotide ribosomal RNA is filed under the name Escherichia coli. RNAcentral describes it as "partial 23S ribosomal RNA". It matches the Rfam family "Bacterial large subunit ribosomal RNA", at positions 358 to 1230 of the family's 2925-position model. Lineage: Bacteria; Pseudomonadati; Pseudomonadota; Gammaproteobacteria; Enterobacterales; Enterobacteriaceae. The record is from RNAcentral.